Non-coding RNA from Triticum aestivum (bread wheat), 135 nucleotides. Lineage: Eukaryota; Viridiplantae; Streptophyta; Magnoliopsida; Poales; Poaceae. The record is from Rfam.
CAACUACUCCCUCUGUCCCAAAUUUCUUGUCUUAGAUUUGUCUAGAUACAGAUGUAUCUAAUACUAAAAUGUGACUUGAUACAUCCGUAUCUAGACAAAUCUAAGACAAGAAUUUAUGGACGGUGGGAGUACUUU